UCCUACGGGAGGCAGCAGUAGGGAAUCUUCCACAAUGGACGAAAGUCUGAUGGAGCAACGCCGCGUGAGUGAAGAAGGCCUUCGGGUUGUAAAGCCCUGUCGAGAGGGAAAAACGGCAGUACGACUAAUAAGCGUAUUGCGUGAUGGUACCUCUAGAGGAAGCACCGGCUAACUUCGUGCCAGCAGCCGCGGUAAU
Molecule: ribosomal RNA, 196 nt
Filed under: uncultured bacterium
Lineage: Bacteria
Description: partial 16S ribosomal RNA
Rfam family: Bacterial small subunit ribosomal RNA
Source: RNAcentral